ACGGCCUUCGGGUUGUAAACCUCUUUCAGCAGGGACGAAGCGAAAGUGACGGUACCUGCAGAAGAAGCACCGGCCAACUACGUGCCAGCAGCCGCGGUAAUACGUAGGGUGCGAGCGUUGUCCGGAAUUAUUGGGCGUAAAGGGCUCGUAGGCGGUUUGUCGCGUCGGGAGUGAAAACUCAGGGCUCAACCCUGAGCCUGCUUCCGAUACGGGCAGACUAGAGGUAUGCAGGGGAGAACGGAAUUCCUGGUGUAGCGGUGAAAUGCGCAGAUAUCAGGAGGAACACCGGUGGCGAAGGCGGUUCUCUGGGCAUUACCUGACGCUGAGGAGCGAAAGUGUGGGGAGCGAACAGGAUUAGAUACCCUGGUAGUCCACACCGUAAACGUUGGGCGCUAGGUGUGGGACUCAUUCCACGAGUUCCGUGCCGCAGCUAACGCAUUAAGCGCCCCGCCUGGGGAGUACGGCCGCAAGGCUAAAACUCAAAGGAAUUGACGGAAUCACUA
Molecule: ribosomal RNA, 503 nt
Filed under: uncultured bacterium
Lineage: Bacteria
Description: bacterial SSU rRNA
Rfam family: Bacterial small subunit ribosomal RNA
Source: RNAcentral